AAUUUUCAAUUUUUAUUUUCUUUUUUAAUUUUUUAAUAUUUAAAUAAUUCACUCUUUUGUUCAUGAAAUUUUCCUUUUUCAUUAAAAAUUUCUGUUCUUUUAGAUUGUUUGAUAAGAAAGAAAAUGUUUAUGAAAUAAAUAAAUCAACAUAAUAUAUAAUAAUAUAGAAAGAAUUAUAUAAAAGUUGAGUAUGGAGAGAUAUACAGUAUAUGUGAAAUAUAUGUAUAGUCUAAGGUUUUUAUCCAUAAAAAAUAAAAUCUGGAUGUUUUAUAUAAUAAAUUAACGUUUAUACAGCUAAAUGUUUAAUUUAUAAUGGAAAUUCCAUUAAAUAAAUAUGUACACUCCCUCCCCUCUUUUAUUCUGUGUAAUAAAUGUAACAAAGAAGUGUUGAUGAUUACUGAUAAUUGUAUAGGAAAGACAAUUGUGCAAAUAUAUAUAUAUAUAUAUAUAUAUAUAUAUAUUGUUUUUAUAGUAAUUAAAUAUAUUACACAAUUAUAUAAUAUUUAGUUAAAAUGUAUAUAUUGUGUAUAUAUAUAUCAUAACUUUUGAGUUAUAUAUAUAAUAUUAUGUAAGGAUAAAAGGGGGUGGUGGUGGAAAUGUUAUUGAAUAUAUCACAAAUGUUUUGUGAAAUACAUGAUACUUUUAAUGUAUAUGUAGCGUAUUUUUUGUAAGCCCUUUUAAAGGUUUUACGCGCCUUUAAAGGUGGGGAAGUAAAUAUAUUUUAAUUGUUCGGUUUAAUUUACUGUUCAAGAGGAUGAAUAUAUAAAGAUCUUUUAUUUCGUAAGAAAUAUUAGGUUGAACUAUCUCUGAAUAAAUUUCAUAGUAGUAAGUGUGUGUAUUAUAGUUUAUUUUGUAAUACACAUUUACUGUUAUGAAAUUUAUAUGUGAAAAGUCGUAUGUGUAUGUUUAGAAUGGAGAGGGUUACACAUGUGUACCCUUAUGUUUAAAAGCCUUGUAAAGGUUUUACGCGCCUUUAAAGGUGGGGAAGCAAAUAUAUUUUAAUUGUUCGGUUUAAUUUUACUGUUCAAGAGGAUGAAUAUAUAAAGAUCUUUUAUUUCAUAAGAAAUGUUAGGUUGAGCUAUCUCUGAAUAGAUUUCAUAGUAAUAAGUGUGUAUACUAUAGUUUAUUUUGUAGUAUACACAUUUACUAUUAUGAAAUUUAUAUGUGAAAAGUCGUAUCUGGAUGUUUAGGAUGGAAGUUUAAACAAAGUACCCCUUAUUUUUAAAAAUCCUUGUAGAGGUUUUGCGCGCCAUUAAAGGUGGGGAAGUAAAUAUAUUUUAAUUGUUCGGUUUAAUUUACUGUUCAAGAGGAUGAAUAUAUAAAGAUCUUUUUAUUUCGUAAGAAAUAUUUAGGUUGAGCUGUCUCUAAAUAAAUUUCAUAGUAGUAAGUGUGCAUUUAUAGUUUAUAUUGUAAUGUGCAUUUACUAUUAUGGAAUUUAUAUGUCAAAAAGGUCGUAUUUUAAUGUUUAGGUUGGACGAAUAAACAGGUGUACCCUUAUUUUUAAAAAUCCUUGUAAAGGUUUUGCGCGCCUUUAAAGGUGGGGAAGUAAAUAUAUUUUAAUUGUUCGGUUUAAUUUUACUGUUCAAGAGGAUGAAUAUAUAAAGAUCUUUUAUUUCGUAGAAAAUAUUAGGUUGAGCUAUCUCUUACUUAAUUAUCAUAUGGUAAAUAUAAAACUAGUUUUUUUUUUUUUUUAUAAACUGGUUUUUAUUUAUCAUGUGAUAAUUAAUUUUAAAUAGUCGUAUGUUUUAUUAAAACCCUUUGGAGAGUAUUACUAGCCUUCAAAGGUAGAGGUGUAAAGAACAUAUUUUGAUCUAUUCCUGUAUGAUCAAAAUAUCCUCAAUAUAUCUUUUAUGUAUACCUUGUAGGUUACUUCUUAAUUAAUCAAUACAUAAAUGUAUAUAUAUGAUGUGGCUAUUUUUAUAGCAUGUUGUAUAUAUAUUAUUAUAGAGGUGAUUAAUAAAAAUUCAGUACAAGAGGUGUGGUUGGUCGGCAAAUAGAAACGAUAUAAUUAUUUUUAAUAAUUAUAGAAAUCCUUAUAGAGGCCAUUGACGAGGCUAUAAAGGUGGGGUGCAUACAUAUAUUUAUAUAAAAGGAUAUAAAUAUAUCUAGUUUAUUAAAUAAAAUGGACAAUAUAAAAUUUGUUCUUGUUUUUUUUUAAUAAAUCUAGGAUGCACUUUUAAGGUUGAUUUAUUCAUUGUCCUUACAAUAAUAAAAAAAAAUACAUAUAUAUAUAUAUAUAUAUAUAUAUAUAUAAUGAUGUGGUGAAAACUUAUCAUUAUAUAUAUAUAUAUAUAUAUGUAUUUUUUUUUAUUAUUGUAAUUAUAGAGUGAUUUUCUAUAAUACAAAGAAUUUCAACUGAACAAGAAAUAUCGUUAUCCCUUUGACGUAUAAAAAGCCUCGUGGGUAUAACGCACCAAGAGAGGUGGAGAAUAACUACAUUUGAGUUUUUAUUAUGAAGGAAAAAUAAACGUUUCUCAUAUAAAAGCACACAAUAUAUAUAUGUAUAUAUUAUAGUAGUCUUUUUAUCAAAUGGUAUGUUAUUCUUCGAGUUGUUUGCGAAUAUAAAUAAUUAUAAUGUUUUUUGCGAACACUGUAGACAUAAAAAUGUAUUUAUGUUUUUUUUUAUAUGUUUAUAUAAAACUACAGUUAGUAGUGUAUGGUUAUAUAUUAGUAGUAUUCAACAAGAAGUCGGUAUGUUCAAUAAAUAAAUUCUUUUUAAGGUUUA
RNAcentral lists this small RNA (2725 nucleotides) under Plasmodium reichenowi. The record is from RNAcentral. Lineage: Eukaryota; Apicomplexa; Aconoidasida; Haemosporida; Plasmodiidae.